GACGAACGCUGGCGGCGUGCCUAAUACAUGCAAGUCGAGCGGACCAAAGGGAGCUUGCUCCUGGAGGUUAGCGGCGAACGGGUGAGUAACACGUGGGCAACCUGCCUGUAAGACUGGGAUAACAUCGAGAAAUCGGUGCUAAUACCGGAUAAUAAAAAGAACUGCAUGGUUCUUUUUUGAAAGAUGGUUUCGGCUAUCACUUACAGAUGGGCCCGCGGCGCAUUAGCUAGUUGGUGAGGUAACGGCUCACCAAGGCAACGAUGCGUAGCCGACCUGAGAGGGUGAUCGGCCACACUGGGACUGAGACACGGCCCAGACUCCUACGGGAGGCAGCAGUAGGGAAUCUUCCGCAAUGGACGAAAGUCUGACGGAGCAGCGCCGCGUGAGUGAUGAAGGUUUUCGGAUCGUAAAACUCUGUUGUUAGGGAAGAACAAGUGCCGUUCGAAAGGGCGGCACCUUGACGGUACCUAACGAGAAAGCCACGGCUAACUACGUGCCAGCAGCCGCGGUAAAG
This 514-nucleotide ribosomal RNA is filed under the name uncultured bacterium. RNAcentral describes it as "bacterial SSU rRNA". It matches the Rfam family "Bacterial small subunit ribosomal RNA", at positions 28 to 525 of the family's 1533-position model. The record is from RNAcentral.